UGUUGUGGCAAGCGGUACUAUAUUGUACCGUUAGUCGAGGCGCGUGGCCGCGAGAGUGCCGUCGACAGAGUGCCGGACGGAGCAACCCCUCCUCUCGCGAUUUCCUGGCGGUGGAGGAAGGAGUCGGGAGCGGGAGUGAUUUGGUGUUCGGAGGUACAUGGAGGGGAUCCCGCACCUUGGUGGGGAUGCGUCGCGUGCGUGGUGGGCACUCGCCCGGCGGCAAGGAGUCGGAAGGGGUGAAUCACCUUUUGCGAACUGCUGACGCUCGACCAUGAUCAAAACUUCGAAAACUUUUAUUAAAAUCCUUGUACUUUGUAUUCUUUUAUUGCGUAACUAAAUAUUCGAAGAACGGCCAUUUUUGUUACAAGUCUUUAUGCUGCCCAUUUUAUUCACCUUUGUAUUCUUUUGUCAUCUAUUAGAUCACCAUUGUGUCCAAAAUGUUUUGUUUAUUAAAUCUAACAAAGUAUUAUACUGCUACGCAAAUCUACGGUUACUCUGGAAACAGUAGUAACUGUAUCGAGGUCAUUGACACUGCCAUGUAGGUUCUUUAGACCUUAAAACUUUCUACUAAGUGUUGCUUGACUUGCUUGAGAAAAUAUUCUUCAUUAUCGAAUAAUGAAGACCGAAAAACGUUUAGCAACCGCAUGAAAAAUGCGCAUUUUCGCAUGCAUGAAACUAAUAAUAGCGUCAAGUUACCCAACGAGCAAGGCACUCACUGAACCGGAGCCACACCUUGUAUGUCUUGUGAAAGUUCAGUAAAGAGAAAGUGAGUAUCAUGUUAGACACACGCACACAGUACGAGAGUGUACCGCGUAUAGCAAACUCGCCUGUCGACUAAACUUUCUUUAACCCACUUUCUUAGUUUCUCGUUGAAUAAAUUUUAGUGUAGUGUCGCGUUUGGUGGCCGGUAGUGGUAUGCCGUAGCCCUACCAUCACCAUCCCAGCAGUCCAGACCCCAGUGGUGGGAUAGUGGGACGUGGGGGUCGAUUUAAGUGGGACAGUGAUUUUUCCGCGCGGCGGCGGCGGCGAUAUGUGCGACAUGCAGAAAAUGCCUACCAGAGAUGAUGCUUCUUGUGACGAAGACUCGGAGAUGAAUUUCGCAGCAUUCUCCACAGCGAAUGCUGCGGGGACACACUUUGUGACCACCACCGGGCAGCUGCCGGUGACAAAGCUGCAGCAAAAUGUCGCCAGCAAUGGAAGCACUUUGCAACAGGUGGUGGGUAUGGUGGGCAACGACGGUGGAGUGCAGUACGUGCGCGCGGACGGGCUGCAGGCCACGCCGCAGCUCAUCACGCUGCCUAUUUCACUGCCCGGAGCCAAGCCGGGCGACCCGCAGCCCACGGUGCAGAUCCAGGUGCUGAGCCCCAACAUCCUGCAGCAGCAGCAGCCCAAGUACCAGAUGCAGAUCCCCAUCCAGGGCUUCCAACAAGGCGGCGCGGUGCUGACGGUGGCGUACUCGCCCGACAACAGCGACGGGCUGCAGGUGCUCGGCAACACGCUGCCGGAAGGCCUGCAGGUGUUGGCGGCGCUGCCGCAAGACAUGCAGCUGGUCCAACAGAUGCAGGACAACAAGGAGCAGAUCCAGCAGGCCAUCCAACACCAGGUGUUCAUAACCCCGAACCAGCAGAUAGUGAUCAACGGCCCUGAGGACACCAAACUGAACAACAACAACACCAUCACCAACAACAACCAGGGCGUCACCAACAUCGUCAUCAAGGAGGAGUGCGAUGACAACGCCAAUGAUGACGAGAGCUCACAAGGCACGGAGUCCAGUGAAAACAUGCAGUGGCAAAUCAGCAGCUCGCAGCAGGACCUCAUCAAGUACCUCAACCAGUUCCAGCCACAGCAGCAACCGACGCUGCCGGUGUCGCUGCAGCAGUUCCUGCGCAUCAACCCGGCGGCGGCGGACGGCAAGAAGGAGCCCGGCGUGGAGAUCGAGGUGCUGCCCAUGGACCACGACAAGGAGCCGCUGGCGGAGGCCGUCGUCGGAGAAGACGGCUCCCUAAGAAUACAGCCGAAAAAGAAGAAAAAGUACAAAAAGAAAGCGCCGAAACCCGCACGACCAAAACCAGGACAAGUGGUGAUCGCCAACGCGGCCGACGGCUCUCCCAUCUACUGCUGCCCGCAGUGCCAGAUGGCCUACCCCGAGAAGGAACAGCUGGAGAUGCACCUGUCGGUCCAUGAGAUUGAGAGGCGGUUUAUCUGUGGCAUCUGCGGGGCUGGUUUGAAACGCAAGGAGCACUUGGAGCGACACAAGCUGGGCCACAACCCCGAGCGACCCUACGUGUGCGGCGUGUGCCGCAAGGGCUUCAAGCGGCGCGAGCACCUCAACCUGCACACCGUCAUACACUCCGGCGUCAAGACCGAAGUGUGCCCCGAGUGCGGCAAGGGUUUCUACCGCAAGGACCACCUGCGCAAGCACAUGCGCUCGCACGAGAGCAAGCGCCUGCGCGACGACGCGGCCGAGGGCGCGGGCGCGGGCGCGGGCGUCACCGUGGCGCCUGCGCCCUGCGCGUCCCCGGCGCCCGGCAACAACACUAUCCUGCCCGAGAUCACCAUACACGUCUAACAUUUUGGAAUAUGCUCUUCACAGGGACCACAAAUUAGUUAGGGCAUGCAUGUGCCAACGAGCGCGAACAUGCAAGUGCCGGUGCAGAUCAACAUCCCGCAGCACGUGGUGUCGUCGCUGCAGGCCGCGGCCGACACGCACGCCGCGCAGGCGCAGCUCGACGCGCUGCUCGCGCAGGCGCACGCGCACG
Molecule: unclassified non-coding RNA, 2759 nt
Filed under: Leguminivora glycinivorella
Lineage: Eukaryota; Metazoa; Arthropoda; Insecta; Lepidoptera; Tortricidae
Description: zinc finger protein 853-like, transcript variant X2
Source: RNAcentral